GCCAGGCGUGGUGGUGCAUGUCUGUGAUCCCAGGUACUUGGGAGGCUGAGGUGGGAGGAUCGCAUGAGUCCGGGAGGUUGAGGCUGCAGUGAGCCAUGAUCAUGCCACUGCACUCCAGCCUGGGUGACAGAGCGAGACCCUGUCUCAAAAAAAUAAUAAAAUAAAAAUACAGUAUAAUUUCUUUUUCUGAAAGAGAGAAAGAAAAGGUCCCGUUCUGUCACCCAGGCUUAAGUGCAGUGGUGCAAUUACGGCUUACUGCAGCCUUCACCUCCCAGGCCCAAGCGAUCCCCCUACCUCA
Molecule: small RNA, 298 nt
Filed under: Pongo abelii (Sumatran orangutan)
Lineage: Eukaryota; Metazoa; Chordata; Mammalia; Primates; Hominidae
Source: RNAcentral